RNAcentral lists this ribosomal RNA (254 nucleotides) under uncultured bacterium. RNAcentral describes it as "partial 16S ribosomal RNA". It matches the Rfam family "Bacterial small subunit ribosomal RNA", at positions 524 to 776 of the family's 1533-position model. The record is from RNAcentral.
UACGGGGGGAGCAAGCGUUGUUCGGAUUUACUGGGCGUAAAGGGCGCGUAGGCGGCCACCGCAAGUCGGUUGUGAAAUCUCUGGGCUUAACCCAGAAAGGUCAACCGAUACUGCGGGGCUAGAGUGCAGAAGGGGCAACUGGAAUUCUCGGUGUAGCGGUGAAAUGCGUAGAUAUCAAGAGGAACACCUGCGGCGAAGGCGGGUUGCUGGGCUGACACUGACGCUGAAGCGCGAAAGCCAGGGGAGCGAACGGG